Molecule: long non-coding RNA, 331 nt
Organism: Drosophila miranda
Lineage: Eukaryota; Metazoa; Arthropoda; Insecta; Diptera; Drosophilidae
Exons: 3
Source: RefSeq, a predicted model, not a curated record
AAUAUGAACGAUCUUAGUCGUCCUAGAAAAACACUCAACAAAAAUGGAAUUUUCCAGAAAACUUACAAUUUUAAUGUAGAUCUAAUAAACGGAUCAAAGCGCAUAUGAAACAGUAUUCCCGAUCAUCCAUAUAGCCCAUUGGUUAAAAAAGGACCAAAAUCUGGUAGCCCAACACCAAAGAAGGCCGCUACCAGGCCAAGAUGCGGUGCUCGGUGCCUGUUUUUCCUGUCUUUCAAAGAUCAAUGACAUUGAGUAGGUCGACUUCGUCAUACCAGUUAAACAUUUCGAUCAUGUAAACGUAACAACAAAGGCACAAGUAGCAGUAUAAGAG